This 1732-nucleotide long non-coding RNA is filed under the name Helianthus annuus (common sunflower). Its description in RNAcentral is "hypothetical non coding rna". Lineage: Eukaryota; Viridiplantae; Streptophyta; Magnoliopsida; Asterales; Asteraceae. The record is from RNAcentral.
UGAUGUAGGUUAUGUUCACAAAGAUAUGUUUACACAAAAACCCAUCAAAACUUUUCUUUUUUUCCUUGGAAAUCGUUGAAGUAAUACACAAAGUCAAAUGUGUAGUGUUAUUAAAAUCUAAACUUUCACGCAAAGUGAUCUAGCUAAUUGAUAUGUAUGUUGGCCAUCUUAUCAACUACAAACUGAAAGCAUUCACCACAAAACGCUUAUCUCUCUCUCUCUCUGCUCGCUACGAUACCGGUCACCGGCGCCGCUAAUCCGACCGGCCCCUGGCGACGGUUUUUCCCCGAUAAGGCACACCCAACAAACUCUAAACACCCAGCUCUCCCUCUUAUCUCCUGCCGGCGACGACCACGGAGGUCCGACAGAAUUAUCGGCGAUGGCAUAACGACGGUGGAGAUACGUUCUCCGACAAAAUUCCUCCGGCGACCCCCCCUCCGCCCAACUCGUUCCUUUUUCCGGCGAGUGAGCUUCGACGGCUGGGCCACCGUGAGUGGCUGUGGUACCUCUGUUCUUUUCAACAAGUUUUCCGAUGCUCGAGGAUGACGAUAUUGAUGUUGUUGACGGUAAUUAACGCCGGCAGGGUUCCGGGUGGUGGCUGGUCACGAGCGGUGGAUGUCGGCGAAAACAGUGGCGGCGGUGUGAUCCUGAAAUGGUAGUCUCCGGCCACACAUGACAACCGCGUACGACGGCGGCACUAGCGACGUUUCGAGCGACGGCGGCGACAGGUUUGUUCAACAUCGGUUUCUGUUCGACUCAGUCUUGGUACGGGUUUCGCGGUACGAUCGGUUUGAGUAAACAAGUCAAAGACAGACAAACAAAUAUCUCGGUUCAUUAGGUUCGGGUUUAACUCAUUUAUGGUCCAACUCAACUUGACUGGGUUCAGUGUUGGUUCGUGUUUGGUUUUACACGGUUAAAGCUCAGAUUUGUUUCGGUUUCGAGUUCGGGUCAACUCGAUCAACCUAGAGUCAACACGGGUUAACUCAGUUCGGUUCUGGUCAACGGCAGUCAACACAAAGACCUGGAAUGUCAUAGUUGCAUGCUAGCUAACUCACGUCCUUGGAACGACACUUCCGAAUCAUGCUAGGCUAGCUUUGCGCAGGAAUGUCAAGGUUGCAUUUUCAAAACUAUGGACCGGUUGGAAUAGGAGAACCCAUGGGGAUUCGAGUACUUAGUGGGUGUUCAACUGUUUAGAAGUCUUAGCUCAAAUACUUCCGCUGUGCAAUGAAGAUACCAGUCCAGUCACGCCAGCUCUGAUAUUUUCGGGGUAUGACACUGUAUUCAUGCACCUCUUAAACAGGGUAUGCAAACCUUAUUUGGAUAAAUUCAUCAUAGUAUUCAUCGACGAUAUACUUAUCCUAUUCGUGAACCAAAGAAGAUCAUGAGCAUCAUUUGAAGUUGAUUUUGGAGCUGCUGAAGGAAGAGAAGUUGUAUGCCAAGUUAUCUAAGUGUGAAUUCUGGAUUCGAGAAGUUCAUUUUCUCGGACAUGUCAUAAACGAGAAAGGUAUUCACGUGGAUCCGUCGAAGAUUGAGGCGAUCAAGAAUUGGGAAGCGCUAGAGACUCUGUGAUACGCUAGGUCGUUAGAUACUUAGCAGGAGCUUGCAUGGGAGGAGUCGUUGUGGAACAUGGACCAUUGUGUGUUCAUGAUAAACUUAUGAACUUUAAACUUAUCUUUUGGUUUUGAACUUAUUGCUUCCGCUGAUAACUAAGACUUUGUUAAAUUGUUUUGUC